AUGAACGCUAGCGAGACGCCUAACACAUGCAAGUCGAAUGCUUCGCUUGCGAAGCAUGGCAAACGGGUGCGUAACACGUGCUUAACCUGCCCCGGAGUGGGGGAUACCUGUGGAAACACAACUAAUCCCGCAUACGCUCUACAAUAUGAAAAUUGUAGAGGAAAGAUUUAUCGCUCUGGGAGGGGGGCGCGGCCUAUUAGCUAGUUGGUGAGGUAAUAGCUCACCAAGGCAAUGAUGGGUAGCUGGUCUGAGAGGAUGAUCAGCCACAAUGGAACUGAGACACGGUCCAUACCCCUACGGGGGGCAGCAGUGGGGAAUCUUGC
RNAcentral lists this ribosomal RNA (323 nucleotides) under uncultured OCS116 cluster bacterium. Its description in RNAcentral is "SSU rRNA". It matches the Rfam family "Bacterial small subunit ribosomal RNA", at positions 29 to 367 of the family's 1533-position model. The record is from RNAcentral. Lineage: Bacteria; Pseudomonadati; Pseudomonadota; Alphaproteobacteria.